AGCUUAUAUUCAAAGUGGAUAGGGUCCGUGAUUCCUAACAAAGAAGCAAAUUCUGUUAAUUCAAAUGGGAACUUACAUCAAUCACUGAUGCUGCCACCUUUGAGGAAUAUUAUAUAUUUUCCCCCUUGUCACAGAGAAACGUCGAGGAACCUACUUGACCGUGGACACGAGAAAUAUCCGGUCCCAUAUCGAGAAAUUCUGAUUUGGAAUUCGGAUUCAACACUUGAUGGCUUGCAUCUCUUGCGAUAUGGUCACUCAUUGUUUCUAAAAGUGAAAACUAUCCCUACAGAUCAACUCGAGUUAUUUUAGCAUGGUUAGUGGUGGCUUGCAUCUCUUGCGAUAUGGUCACUCAUCGUUUCUAAAAGUGAAGACUAUCCCUACAGAUCAACUCGAGUUAUUUUAGCAUGGUUAGUGAUGGCUUGAAUCUCUUGCGAUAUGGUCACUCAUCGUUUCUAAAAGUGAAGACUAUCCCUACAAAUCAACUCGAGUUAUUUCAGCAUGGUUAGUCUUUACUUACAUGCAUUUUAGGAAAAUUCCUAAGAGGUCACCAAACAUAAAAUUUCUCUAAACGAAGCACGUUUAACCAUGGAAUUCUUAUGAUUAAGCCACCAAAAAGGAAGGUGCACGAUGUUGGUAUAGGUAGUGACUUUCAAUUCUUCUAAGCAUUUCUUAGUCAUUAUAUCAUCAUGAUCGCUCUCGUUCGAAUGUGGUUUCAAUUCAUUCAUAUACUCCUCUUUUAUUCAACUGUCACACUUCAAAUGCAUUUUGAACGAGUAUUAAUAUCAUUGUUAUGUUUAUAUGAAUCCGGAGU
Cucurbita moschata (crookneck pumpkin) is the source of this 811-nucleotide long non-coding RNA. RefSeq lists it as uncharacterized. The transcript is spliced from 3 exons. The record is from RefSeq and is a predicted model, not a curated record. Lineage: Eukaryota; Viridiplantae; Streptophyta; Magnoliopsida; Cucurbitales; Cucurbitaceae.